AGUAGGAACAACCCCAGUGGCUGCGGCAGCUCUGGAAACCUGGAUUCAGCUCCCGCAGGAACUACUCCCUCUGCAGGGUCUGGAGGCUCCGGGGCGGG
Molecule: microRNA precursor, 98 nt
Filed under: Canis lupus familiaris (dog)
Lineage: Eukaryota; Metazoa; Chordata; Mammalia; Carnivora; Canidae
Description: mir-8834 microRNA precursor family
Rfam family: mir-8834 microRNA precursor family
Source: Rfam by way of RNAcentral